This 688-nucleotide ribosomal RNA is filed under the name Pseudomonas azotoformans. RNAcentral's name for it is "bacterial SSU rRNA". It matches the Rfam family "Bacterial small subunit ribosomal RNA", at positions 59 to 741 of the family's 1533-position model. The record is from RNAcentral. Lineage: Bacteria; Pseudomonadati; Pseudomonadota; Gammaproteobacteria; Pseudomonadales; Pseudomonadaceae.
AAGUCGAGCGGUAGAGAAAAGCUUGCUUUUCUUGAGAGCGGCGGACCGGGUGAGUAAUGCCUAGGAAUCUGCCUGGUAGUGGGGGAUAACGUCCGGAAACGGACGCUAAUACCGCAUACGUCCUACGGGAGAAAGCAGGGGACCUUCGGGCCUUGCGCUAUCAGAUGAGCCUAGGUCGGAUUAGCUAGUUGGUGAGGUAAUGGCUCACCAAGGCGACGAUCCGUAACUGGUCUGAGAGGAUGAUCAGUCACACUGGAACUGAGACACGGUCCAGACUCCUACGGGAGGCAGCAGUGGGGAAUAUUGGACAAUGGGCGAAAGCCUGAUCCAGCCAUGCCGCGUGUGUGAAGAAGGUCUUCGGAUUGUAAAGCACUUUAAGUUGGGAGGAAGGGUUGUAGAUUAAUACUCUGCAAUUUUGACGUUACCGACAGAAUAAGCACCGGCUAACUCUGUGCCAGCAGCCGCGGUAAUACAGAGGGUGCAAGCGUUAAUCGGAAUUACUGGGCGUAAAGCGCGCGUAGGUGGUUUGUUAAGUUGGAUGUGAAAGCCCCGGGCUCAACCUGGGAACUGCAUUCAAAACUGACAAGCUAGAGUAUGGUAGAGGGUGGUGGAAUUUCCUGUGUAGCGGUGAAAUGCGUAGAUAUAGGAAGGAACACCAGUGGCGAAGGCGACCACCUGGACUGAUACC